GAAUGUAUGUAUGUGUGUGGUUUUUAAAGAGGUCAUGCCUGUUUCUUUUUUUUAACGAACUAGAAGUAUGUAUUAUAGCAUGUUAGAAUUGAAAGGGACCCCAAAGAUGAUCUAGUUCAGCCUUCCCAUUUGACAGUUGAGGAAACACUUUGUUUGGCAUUUCUUUACUUUAAGGAAAGUUGGGGCACUGCCAAAAUCAACACUGCCUGCUUUGAGUUUUCACUGCUUGUCGGACAAACCUUAGGUUGGGGGAUUGGGGGAUAUAUACAAACAGGGACUAAAACAAGCAACAUCAUGCCGUCAGCCAUCAAUCUGGUUGUUGUCUUAUUCUUCCCCAAAAUAAUUUCAAGUCAACUAUAGACACAAACACUUGAAAUGUAUUAAUUUAUUUAUUAAAUAAAAAUGGCUGAUAUUUUGCUUACUAAAAAUCUGAUUAUUUCUUUGGCUCCUGGUUAGAUGAGCAAGUCAAAUGUUAACAACCUGAGUACCAUCGUCUAUAACAAAACAGUGAAUCAGCACCCUCUAGCACAUUUCUGAGUCACUACUUUUUAAAAAAACCUUUUAAAAAAUGUAACUGAAACUAAAAUAUUCUAAACACUGUGCUGGGUUUUUCAUACUAUCUCAUUUUUAAUUCUCAUAAAAUUGCACAACAUAGCUUGAGACAGCUCUGUAAGUAGAUAAAGAUAAUAUACAAUGUAGUGAGGUCUACUUCGUGUGUGGAAAGAGAGUUGUGGUCAGAGAGCAGCUGACUCUACUGAGGGAAGCAAUGAUGAAUGAGAAGAGGCCCUGGAUCCCUGGGAGCUCCCACCAUAGUAGGAGAGACAGAUCCCUGGAAAGGAAUGUUGCAAUAGGCAUGUCAAGAACUAUUGCACAGUUAUUUCUUUUUAAAUGGUGUGAGAGCAAAAAAAAUAGAAAUGCUAACUCUGGGGGUUUUGAAGAUGACUUGAAUGAAGAAGUUACAUCAGACUGAGUAUUAAAGGAAGAGAGUAGUUUGCCAGGUGAAAAACAGAAAUGUCAUUUAAGGAAGAAAGAAAAACAAGUGAGAAGGCAUGGUAUUGAGGAAGACUGUGAUGUGUAUGCACAGGAAAAGUAAGGGGGUCAGUGGUGCUGGAAACCGGGGUGCAUGGGAUGAAGUGGGGUGGAGAUGUGUGGAGCAAGUCUGGGACAAGCUUCUGUGCCAAUGUAGGGAUAUGGAAGUUGUCCUCUGGAAAACUGGAAGUAUUGGAGGUUUUCAGUUGGAAAAUAAUGUAAUUGGAUUGCUGUCUUUCUCUUGCCAUAAAAAUUAAGAAAUAUAAUCCUUAAUGAGGAAAAAAUACUAAAACAUUAAAACAGAUAUAGUGUAUAAAGCAUAAUUGUAAACACCUCUGUAACAUAUAACAUUGUGAAAACCCUUCAUCUCCUCCCCAGUCAUAUGUCAUGGAAGCCCCAAAAAUGAUAACCA
This 1441-nucleotide long non-coding RNA is filed under the name Homo sapiens (human). RNAcentral's name for it is "HSALNT0112196". The record is from RNAcentral. Lineage: Eukaryota; Metazoa; Chordata; Mammalia; Primates; Hominidae.